CCCGGGAAGAUUUGGCGGCUGGAGCCCUGCGCAGGAGCUGUAGCUCUGGGCUGCGGAUUUUACCGCCCCUGCACAGAAGCCUGCAGCGUGGAGGCUCCCCUCGCGCUCGCCCAGACUCGGCUGCAGAAGGAGGACCCACCUCGCGUCUCCCCCGAGGCGCGCACCUCUGUCGCCACCCUCCACGCGCCUAGGAAGUUUUGAAGGUAGAGAAUCUGGGCCCCUCAACUUCCUCUGGACAUGAAUCAAACCGCAGGAGUCUCCAAUAGCGUCAGGUGUCCCCCGGGGAAAGGAGCUGGUGGGGAGUAACCCUCCGCAGAGGAAUUGGAAAGGAAUAGCAAUUGCACUGCUUGUCAUUCUGGUCAUCUGCUCCUUGAUCGUCACCUCGGUCAUACUUCUGACACCAGCGGAAGAUAAUAGUCUGUCUCAAAAGAAGAAGGUCACUGUAGAAGAUCUCUUCAGUGAAGACUUCAAAAUUCAUGACCCCGAGGCUAAGUGGAUAAGUGAUACAGAAUUCAUCUACAGAGAACAGAAAGGAACAGUGAGACUGUGGAAUGUUGAAACAAAUACUUCUACUGUCUUAAUAGAAG
RNAcentral lists this long non-coding RNA (587 nucleotides) under Homo sapiens (human). Its description in RNAcentral is "HSALNT0131092". The record is from RNAcentral. Lineage: Eukaryota; Metazoa; Chordata; Mammalia; Primates; Hominidae.